CUCCUCUUUGCUCAUCGGAUAACCAGCUGGUGGUGCAGUCACAUAGGGUUCUGGCACAGUGGAUGUUGACGGUGCUGGGUAUGCAGCUUAUGGAUCGUUCAAAAAGAACUAAACCAUGUUAAUAUUGUUGGUUGUUUUAUUCACAACUGAAAUACCAUGUUGAAAUUUAGAAGAG
Long non-coding RNA from Hibiscus syriacus, 175 nucleotides. RefSeq lists it as uncharacterized. NCBI's taxonomy places the organism in Eukaryota, Viridiplantae, Streptophyta, Magnoliopsida, Malvales, Malvaceae. The record is from RefSeq and is a predicted model, not a curated record. The transcript is spliced from 3 exons.